Molecule: non-coding RNA, 145 nt
Filed under: chicken gut metagenome
Description: FMN riboswitch (RFN element)
Rfam family: FMN riboswitch aptamer (RFN element)
About the family: The RFN element is a highly conserved domain that is found frequently in the 5'-untranslated regions of prokaryotic mRNAs that encode for flavin mononucleotide (FMN) biosynthesis and transport proteins. This element is a metabolite-dependent riboswitch that directly binds FMN in the absence of proteins. In Bacillus subtilis, the riboswitch most likely controls gene expression by causing premature transcription termination within the 5' untranslated region of the ribDEAHT operon and precluding access to the ribosome-binding site of ypaA mRNA.
Source: RNAcentral
UUCCUUCGGGGUCGGGUGUAAUUCCCAACCGGCGGUGAUGAAACGUCGUAACGUUUCUUAGUCCGUGACCCGUGCGGCCAUUUUGCCAAGCGGUGGAUCUGGUGUAACUCCAGAGCCGACAGUUAAAGUCUGGAUGGGAGAAGGA